RNAcentral lists this ribosomal RNA (406 nucleotides) under uncultured bacterium. RNAcentral describes it as "partial 16S ribosomal RNA". It matches the Rfam family "Bacterial small subunit ribosomal RNA", at positions 30 to 526 of the family's 1533-position model. The record is from RNAcentral.
AUUGAACGCUGGCGGCAUGCCUAACACAUGCAAGUCGAACGAGUGGCGGACGGGUGAGUAAUAUAUGGGAAACUGCCUGGUGGCGGGGGAUAACUACUGGAAACGGUAGCUAAUACCGCAUACCAUCGGAUGUGCCCAGAUGGGAUUAGCUAGUUGGUGGGGUAAAGGCUCACCAAGGCGACGAUCCCUAGCUGGUCUGAGAGGAUGACCAGCCACACGGGAACUGAGACACGGUCCAGACUCCUACGGGAGGCAGCAGUGGGGAAUAUUGGACAAUGGGGGAAAGCCUGAUGCAGCCAUGCCGCGUGUAUGAAGAAGGCCUUCGGGUUGUAAAGUACUUUCAGCGGGGAGGCGUUACCUGCAGAAUAAGCACCGGCUAACUACGUGCCAGCAGCCGCGGUAAUUC